This 44-nucleotide ribosomal RNA is filed under the name Erysiphe convolvuli. RNAcentral describes it as "partial 18S ribosomal RNA". It matches the Rfam family "Eukaryotic small subunit ribosomal RNA", at positions 1791 to 1831 of the family's 1831-position model. The record is from RNAcentral. Lineage: Eukaryota; Fungi; Ascomycota; Leotiomycetes; Helotiales; Erysiphaceae.
GUAACAAGGUUUCCGUAGGUGAACCUGCGGAAGGAUCAUUACAG